This 1238-nucleotide ribosomal RNA is filed under the name metagenome. Its description in RNAcentral is "bacterial LSU rRNA". It matches the Rfam family "Bacterial large subunit ribosomal RNA", at positions 1564 to 2810 of the family's 2925-position model. The record is from RNAcentral.
UGAAUACGAGAUGCUACGGCAUCGAAGCAGUCUAUGUCAUACUUCCAAGAAAAGCUUGCACUGUCAUAAACAAAUAAUGCCUGUACCAUAACCGACACAGGUGGGUAGGUAGAGUAUACUAAGGGGCGCGAGAUAACUCUCUCUAAGGAACUCGGCAAAAUGACUCCGUAACUUCGGGAGAAGGAGUGCCUUAUUUUAUAAGGUUGCAAUAACAAGAUCCAAGCAACUGUUUACCAAAAACACAGGUCUCCGCUAAGUCGUAAGACGAUGUAUGGGGGCUGACGCCUGCCCAGUGCCAGAAGGUUAAAGAAGUUGGUUAGCAUUAGCGAAGCUGAUAACUGAAGCCCUGGUGAACGGCGGCCGUAACAAUAACGGUCCUAAGGUAGCGAAAUUCCUUGUCGGGUAAGUUCCGACCCGCACGAAAGGCGUAAUGAUUUGGAUACUGUCUCGGAGAGGGGCUCGGUAAAAUAGACUUGUCUGUGAAGAUGCGGACUACCUGCACCAGGACAGAAAGACCCUAUGAAGCUUUACUGUAACUUGAGAUUGAAAUUGGACUUUAUUUGCGCAGUAUAGGUGGGAGACGUUGAAAAUAUUCUUGCGGGAAUAUUGGAGUCAUCAGUGAGAUACCACUCUUAUAAUGUUAGAUUUCUAACUUUGUAUCAUUAUCUGGUCAAAGAACAGUCUCAGGCGGGCAGUUUGACUGGGGCGGUCGCCUCCCAAACGGUAACGGAGGCGCACAAAGGUUUCCUCUGAACGUGUAGAAAUCGUAUCUAGAGUGUAAAGGCAUAAGGAAGCUUGACUGUGAGACCUACAAGUCGAGCAGGGACGAAAGUCGGUCUUAGUGAUCUGACGGUGCUGAGUGGAAAGGCCGUCACUCAACGGAUAAAAGUUACUCUAAGGAUAACAGGCUGAUCUCCCCCAAGAGUUCACAUCGACGGGGAGGUUUGGCACCUCGAUGUCGGCUCAUCGCAUCCUGGGGCGGUAGUACGUCCCAAGGGUUGGGCUGUUCGCCCAUGAAAGCGGUACGCGAGCUGGGUUCAGAACGUCGUGAGACAGUUCGGUCCAUAUCCGGUGUAGGCGUUAGAAUAUUGAGAGGAGCCUUCUUUAGUACGAGAGGACCGAGAAGGACAUACCUCUGGUGUACCAGUUAUCGUGCCAACGGUAAACGCUGGGUAGCUAUGUAUGGAGAGGAUAACCGCUGAAAGCAUCUAAGUGGGAAGCCCACCUCAAGAUAAGUA